AAACUAGGAUUAGAUACCCUAUUAUUAGGAAAUGCAAAUUGUAGUAAAUAUUAAAUACGAAAGCAAAAAAUUAUGGCGGUAUCUUAAGCUUUUCAGAGGAAUUUGCUCUUUAAUGGAUAAAACACCUUAACCUUACUUGGUCUAGUAAAAUUCAGUUUGUAUACCACUAUAAAAAUAAUAAUUUACUUUUAUUAUUAAAAUUCUUUUUUAGAUAAAAAUUAAGUCAAGGUGCAGCUUAAGGCUAAGAAUGAAGUGAAUUACAUUUCUUAAAAGAAAAGAAAAGUGAAACAAAAUAUUAGGAUUUGAUAGUAAAAUUAAAAUAAAAAGUUAAUUUGAAUUAAGCUCUAAGAUAUGUACACAUCGCCCGUCGCUCUCAUU
Molecule: ribosomal RNA, 378 nt
Filed under: Hyalomma asiaticum
Lineage: Eukaryota; Metazoa; Arthropoda; Arachnida; Ixodida; Ixodidae
Description: partial 12S ribosomal RNA
Source: RNAcentral